UUUUGGCGGGGAUUCAACUUCAAUUAGGAGCUGUUCUCCGGUUCAACCGCUGCCGGCCGGCGAGAAUUAUGGUUUUGCUGUAGGUGGAUAUGAAGUUUUAGGAAGGAAAAGAGAACGAGAAAUGGAAGGAUUGGUGGUUCGCUCGCCGUUCGUUUCAACAGGGAAGAAGCUUCCCUUCUCGCCUUUGCUCGAUUCUUUGCCGAGUUGUUCUGCUUCUGGCAGUGUAAUUGCUAAGACCGUACUGAAAUCGCUGAAAUGUAGAAGAGUUACGAGAUUGAACGGGACGCAUGGAUAAAUCAGAGCACAUUCGUCGAAUGUAAGUAUUGGAUCCAAUGGAUACAGGCACGGGGACACCAUGUUAUUUCCAGUAGUGCACCUGUUGAUACCAGUUCAUCUAAAACUGAGAAGUCUCCAAAUGGAUUGCCUUAUCCUCUUUCUAUUGCGCUAGUAAUAAUUGGGUGCAGUUUAGUAUUCCCUUUUAAAUUUUAUCAUCAAAUCCAACUAAGUUCAUUCAUUGUAUGAUUACAAAAGAAUUACAACUGAGAAAUAUAUAAAUUUCAUAAAACUAGAUU
This is a long non-coding RNA of Cucurbita maxima (winter squash), 572 nucleotides long. RefSeq lists it as uncharacterized. The transcript is spliced from 3 exons. The record is from RefSeq and is a predicted model, not a curated record. Lineage: Eukaryota; Viridiplantae; Streptophyta; Magnoliopsida; Cucurbitales; Cucurbitaceae.